GAGGGUAUAGCUCAAGUGGUAGAGCCCAUGCUUAGCAUGCAUGAGGUUCUGGAUUCAAUCCUCAGUACCUCCU
Transfer RNA from Camelus ferus (Wild Bactrian camel), 73 nucleotides. It matches the Rfam family "tRNA". From Rfam's summary of the family: Transfer RNA (tRNA) molecules are approximately 80 nucleotides in length. Their secondary structure includes four short double-helical elements and three loops (D, anti-codon, and T loops). The record is from Rfam. Lineage: Eukaryota; Metazoa; Chordata; Mammalia; Artiodactyla; Camelidae.